GGCGGGGUAGCUCAGCGGUUAGAGCAGUGGAUUCAUAACCCACUGGUCGACGGUUCGAUUCCGUCCUCCGCCACCA
RNAcentral lists this transfer RNA (76 nucleotides) under Deltaproteobacteria bacterium RIFCSPLOWO2_02_FULL_47_10. RNAcentral's name for it is "tRNA-Met". It matches the Rfam family "tRNA". From Rfam's summary of the family: Transfer RNA (tRNA) molecules are approximately 80 nucleotides in length. Their secondary structure includes four short double-helical elements and three loops (D, anti-codon, and T loops). The record is from RNAcentral. Lineage: Bacteria; Deltaproteobacteria.